Passer domesticus (house sparrow) is the source of this 7271-nucleotide RNA transcript. It is a transcript of the gene named mitogen-activated protein kinase kinase kinase 1, with no coding region annotated. Lineage: Eukaryota; Metazoa; Chordata; Aves; Passeriformes; Passeridae. The record is from RefSeq and is a predicted model, not a curated record. The transcript is spliced from 22 exons.
GCGGCGCCGUUUGCGCAGCGCGCUGUCCGCCGGCGGCCCCCGGUGCUCGGGAGCCCGAUGUGACCCGACAGAGAAAAUGGCGGCGGCGGCGGGGGAUCGCGCCUCGUCAUCGGGACUAUCCUCGGGCGGCGGCGCGGAGGCGGCCGCCGCCGCCGCCUGCGGGAGCCUGAAAGGCGGCGCGGUGGCGGGGAGCGUCGCCGGGAGCGGCGGGGGGCUCUUGCGGGAGGCGGGCGGCGGCAGCCGAGAACAGCGCUCUGACUGGAGACGGAAGCAGCUGCGCAAAGUGCGGAGCGUGGAGCUGGACCGGCUGCCGGAGGCGCCCCUCUUCCUCGCUGCCGCCCCGGCCGCCUCCUCCUCUUCCUCCUCCUCCUCGCCGGAGCCCCCCGAGACGCUGCUGCUCCACUACCUCCCCGGGCCGCCGCGCUCCAGCCCCGCCAGCCCGGCUGCCUCCCCCAGCCGCUUCGCCGAGCUCCUGGAGCCGCUGCCGGCGGGGAGCCCGGCGGGGACGGACCCAGCCGCGGAGCGGAGGAUGGAGCCGUCCCCCGCCGCGAGUCGUGACAUGGAGAAUAAAGAAACCCUUAGGGGGUUACAGAAGAUGGAUGACCGCCCAGAAGAGCGCAUGAUCAGGGAGAAACUCAAGGCAACAUGUAUGCCAGCCUGGAAGCAUGAAUGGCUGGAAAGAAGAAGCAGAAGAGGCCCUGUGGUGGUGAAGCCUAUCCCUGGAAAAGUAGAUGGAUCAGAAAUGACCAAACUCUGUCUAGAUCCUCAAGCUGAAGGACAUAACACUGCUUCUUCACCUACGCAAAAAGGAAGACGUAGCCCUUCUCCUAGCAGUUCUUCUUCAUCAUCUGCUAGGACAGUUAAAUCUGAGUCACCAGGUGUUAGAAGAAAAAGGGUAUCUCCAGUGCCUUUUCAGAGCGGUCGGAUAACACCACCUCGACGAGCCCCUUCUCCAGAUGGCUUCUCCCCAUACAGCCCUGAGGAGACAAAUCGCCGUGUCAACAAAGUGAUGCGAGCCAGGCUCUACUUGCUGCAGCAGAUAGGACCCAACUCUUUCCUAAUUGGAGGCGACAGCCCUGAUAAUAAAUACAGAGUGUUUAUUGGCCCUCAGACUUGCAGCUGUGGCCGUGGGACGUUUUGUAUUCAUCUGCUGUUUGUUAUGCUGAGGGUCUUUCAGCUUGAACCCUCAGACCCAAUGCUCUGGAGAAAGACACUGAAGAACUUUGAGGUUGAGAGUUUGUUCCAGAAAUAUCACAGUAGGCGUAGCUCGAGGAUCAAAGCUCCAUCUCGUAACACCAUCCAGAAGUUUGUCUCACGCAUGUCAAAUUCUCAUACAUUGUCAUCAUCUAGUACUUCUACAUCUAGUUCAGAAAACAGUAUGAAGGAUGAAGAAGAACAGAUGUGCCCCAUUUGUUUGUUAGGCAUGCUGGAUGAAGAGAGUCUAACUGUGUGUGAAGAUGGCUGCAGAAACAAAUUGCACCACCACUGCAUGUCAAUAUGGGCAGAAGAAUGCAGAAGAAACAGAGAACCACUCAUCUGUCCACUCUGUAGAUCUAAAUGGAGAUCUCAUGAUUUUUAUAGCCAUGAAUUGCCAAGCCCUGUGGAUUCCUCUGUUCUCCGUGUGGUUCAGCAACAAUCUCAGCAGCAGUCUGCAGUUGGAUCACAGAGGAGAACUCAAGAUAGCAAUUUUAACCUUACUCAUUAUGGAGUCCAGCAGAUCCCUUCUACUUAUAAAGAUUCAGCUGAGCCAUGGAUUCAGGUAUUUGGGAUGGAGCUAGUUGGCUGCUUGUUUUCUCGAAACUGGAAUAUACGAGAGAUGGCACUUAGACGUCUUUCCCAUGAUGUUAGUGGUGCUCUAUUACUGGCUAACGGUGAAAGCACUGGAAACUCUGGAAGCAGCAGUGGAAACAACACAAGUGCUGGAGCUCUGGGAGCAGCUAGUGGGUCAUCUCAGACCAGUAUCUCAGGAGAUGUGGUGGUAGAGUCCUGCUGCAGCGUGCUGUCCAUGGUCUGUGCUGACCCUGUCUACAAAGUGUAUGUUGCUGCUUUAAAAACUUUAAGAGCCAUGCUAGUGUACACUCCCUGUCAUACUUUGGCAGAGAGGACUAAACUACAGCGACUUCUCAAGCCAGUUGUAGAGACGAUAUUAGUUAAAUGUGCAGAUGCUAACAGUCGAACAAGCCAACUUUCAGUUUCAACACUAUUGGAGAUGUGUAAAGGUCAAGCAGGCGAACUGGCAGUUGGAAGAGAAAUACUUAAAUCUGGAUCCAUUGGUAUUGGAGGUGUUGAUUAUGUCUUAAAUUGUAUUCUUGGAAAUGAAAUCGAAUCUACCAACUGGCAAGCACUGCUGGGGCGACUUUGUCUAAUAGACAGACUUCUGUUGGAAUUUCCCAGUGAAUUUUAUCCCCACAUUGUCUGUGGAGAUGUCUUGCAGGCUGAUACCAUAGUUGACAGGUAUAAGAAGCUUCUCUCCCUCUUAACUUUCGCCUUGCAGUCAAUUGACAAUUCCCAUUCAAUGGUUGGCAAACUGUCACGGAGAAUAUUUUUGAGUGCAGCAAGAAUGGUAGCAAGAGUGCCGCAUAUUUUUGUAAAGCUGUUAGAUAUGUUGAGUGUGACAAGCUCAACUCAUUAUGCAAGGAUGCGUCGACGUCUGAUGGCAAUAGCAGAUGAAAUGGAAAUUGCAGAAGCCAUUCAGCUAGGCAUGGAAGAAAUGCACUCUGGGGAAUGCCGACAUGAAGACUUUUUACACCUACCUGUGCCAGAUAACUCUCCAGAAACUACAGAAAAUAAUACUCCUAAUAAUACUGUCCAGUUAUCAGGGAAAAGUGGGAAAGGUUUAAGUGACAGAAAACUGAGUGCCAGUCCAGAUGACUUUCCUGAGAUGCUAGCUGGCCUUGCCAUGGGACCUCCUGUUUCAUCAGUAACCACUGAGCAACCAAAACCAGCCAUUCAAACAAAAGGAAAACCCCAGAGUCAGUGUGUGAACUCUUCUCCCUCACCCAGUCAUUCCCAGUCACUAUUCCCAACACUUCUGUCUCCAUCAAAUCCAUCUGUACCAGCUGGCACUGUAACAGAUGUCUCUAAACUCAGACCUCAGGGAUUUGUUCCCUGCAAAAUCCCCUCACCUUCUCCUCAAACACAGCGGAAACUUUCUCUCCAGUUUCAGCGAAACUGUUCUGAAAAUAAAGAAUCUGAGAAACUCUCUCCAGUUUUUACCCAAGCCAGGCCAUUGCCCUCCAGUCAUGUACAUAGGCCAAAGCCAUCACGACCCACCCCAAGUGAUGUGAACAAGCAAGGAGAAACCUUAAAAAGCAGUAUGACACUUGACCUGAAUGAUAUUUCUCAGUGUGAUGGCAAUAGCAGUGCAGUUAUACCAAGUGAAGAAACGGUGUUCACACCAGUAGAUGAGAAAUGCCGGCUGGAUGUUAAUGCAGAGCUCAAUUCCAGUAUUGAGGACCUGCUUGAGGCCUCCAUGCCAACGAGUGAUGGCACAGUUACAUUCAAGUCUGAGGUUGCAGUUCUUUCUCCUGAGCGGGCAGAAAAUGAUGAUACUUACAAAGAUGAUGUAAAUCAUAAUCAGAAAUGCAAAGAAAAGAUGGAAGCUGAAGAGGAGGAAGCUUUAGCUAUUGCUAUGGCAAUGUCAGCAUCCCAGGAUGCCUUACCAGUAAUUCCCCAACUACAAGUUGAAAAUGGUGAAGACAUCAUAAUCAUUCAGCAGGAUACACCAGAAACCCUGCCUGGACAUACCAAAGCAAAACACCAUUACAGAGAAGAUGCAGAAUGGCUUAAAGGUCAGCAAAUUGGUCUUGGAGCUUUCUCUUCCUGUUACCAAGCUCAAGAUGUGGGAACAGGGACCUUAAUGGCUGUAAAACAGGUGACAUAUGUCAGGAACACAUCAUCUGAGCAAGAAGAGGUGGUUGAAGCACUGAGGGAAGAAAUAAGGAUGAUGAGUCAUCUAAACCAUCCUAACAUUAUUCGAAUGUUGGGUGCUACAUGUGAGAAGAGCAACUAUAACCUUUUUAUUGAAUGGAUGGCAGGGGGUUCAGUUGCUCACUUGUUAAGUAAAUAUGGAGCCUUCAAAGAAUCAGUUAUUAUUAAUUACACAGAACAACUUUUACGUGGCCUUUCUUACCUCCAUGAGAAUCAGAUAAUCCAUAGAGAUGUUAAAGGUGCCAAUUUGCUAAUUGACAGCACAGGUCAUAGAUUAAGAAUUGCUGAUUUUGGAGCUGCAGCCAGGUUGGCAUCAAAAGGAACUGGUGCUGGGGAGUUUCAGGGACAGUUGUUGGGAACUAUUGCAUUUAUGGCACCAGAGGUCCUGAGAGGUCAGCAAUAUGGAAGGAGCUGUGAUGUGUGGAGUGUUGGCUGUGUUGUCAUAGAAAUGGCUUGUGCUAAACCUCCUUGGAAUGCAGAGAAACACUCCAAUCAUCUUGCUCUGAUAUUUAAGAUUGCUAGUGCAACUACUGCUCCAUCAAUCCCUACACAUCUGUCUCCAGGCUUGAAAGAUGUGACUCUUCGAUGUUUAGAACUUCAACCUCAGGACAGACCACCUUCAAGGGAGCUGCUGAAACACCCAGUCUUCCGUACUACAUGAAGUUCUGAAUCCUGCAGUACUGUGUCCCGCUCGUGAUGUUGCAGCCUCCUUUCUAGGAACGAGGGAUGGCAGAGAUCACUGGUGCCCAGCAGGUGACAGUAAACUUCAAGGACGCCUACUUAGGGAGCCAAGUAUGUGCACAGGGCAUGUUCAGUUCUUGCACAGGGAAAGGGUAAGCUCCAUGCCUGGUGUGACUUCUCCAGUGAGAAUAAAAACACAUUUCUGCGUGUUGGUCAUAGGUUGAAGUCUGAUGGCAUUUCAUCUUUGCAAGUUCUCUCUCGAGGCUAAGGAAUGCCUCCAGAACAUGUUGGAAUGUCACAUAUGUCCUUUCAUCACAUGAAAGUGGGCAACUUGUGUGCAUGGCAGUUGUGACCUGACAGCCCACCUCCCAAAGUUCUCUAUUUCCCUUACUGACUUUUCACUCGUUGCUUAGUCUUCCUUAGUGACCUGAAUCACGCUGUGACUGCCUUACUUUUCAGAGCCACAAUAUGCAUGUGAUGUGGUGAACAUGUGUGCUAUUUUGUGGUUAUAGCACAUGGCUGCUGAAACCAGAGUUGCAAGUCUUGAGGUGAGACCUUUCUUCCCUGUAGUUACCGAGGAAGGCCAGGAGAUGGCAGGGAAGCACUUUGCGGGCAUUUUUCCUCAAUUUCUUCCGUUCGCACCAGCUCUGCGCUAAGCUCCUGUUCUUGGAAGGGGUGAGGCAGGCCAACUGGGGAAUUGAAGUGAUUGUGGAAUAAAUCAAGGCACAACUUUAAAUAUUUGUAAAGCUCUGAGUUGGUACGUUAAUUCUAAUAGUUACAUUGCUUUGAUGGGCCUGUGUCAGAUUUCCCAAACCCUUGUCAAAAUUUCAGGUCCAGAGGAAGGACUGUAACCCCUUAGAGUGUUUUAAAUGUCUGAUUUCUCUAUUUACUCCAAAACCAAUUCUCAGAUGCUCCAUAUUUUUAAACUGCUUUUUGAAUAAAGUAAAAUACAUACAUGCGUGUUCUUUUUUCCCAGUUCAUUGUGUAAUAAAUAGGUGUGAUUCAUGCUGAUAAAAUUGAAACAGUAAUCAAUAUUGAUACAGUAAUUAAUACUUGGAAAUAAUAAAACAGUUAAAGGUGUAAUGCCAAGAAAGAAAGGGAGAGGAGGGGCACCCCCCUUUCUCCUGCAGAUGUUCAGAACAAGAAGCAAGAGAACUAUUACUAAAUUUAGUUGGAAGAGAGGAAAAUUUGGUUGGACAUCCAGGAAAAUGCUAAUUAUAUGAGAAUUAUUGCUUUGAUGCCAGAACAUAAUAUUGGCUUGUAUGAUACUAGCUUUGGCUUACAUUGUACCAGCUUGGUGCGCAUGUGUAGUCCAAACAGUGAAUCAAAGGACGGCGAGGAAGAGGAGAGGCCUUCUUCAGGAAUGACCCCCAAAGAGUGGUGCGACCACCUAAAAAAUGGUGGAGCACGCGUGGUAAAGGUGAUGAUGAGGGUGGAGAUACAAGUGUGACGAAUCGAAAAUGGGAGGGGAUGGUAAUGAUGUACAGCAUAAAAGGGGUAAUUUUGGUUUGGCAAGCUUGUACGUGAGGGAACAGGGGUCAAGCCCUGCCCCCUGUUCCCUGCGCUACCCCAUGCAGUUAUUUUUGCUUCUGUGCUAUUAUAAGAACCUAAUUAUCCCUUAUUUUAACCAAAUUAUGUUGUCAAUAUUUCAAGUGUAUUCAAUUUUAUAUAUUUUAAGCUACUUAAUUAAAAUUGCUGCUACAUUUAAUUUCACUGGGUUUCUUUUAUGAUGGGAUAAUUGGGCAAAUACAACAAUUGGCAGUGUUAAACUAAAACUGAAGAUGAGCAGCAUCCAAAGAUUUAAGUUUCAUGAAACUGGGUAUCCAAGCAGCCAAAGGACAACAGUGGCCAAAAAUAACAGUACCCUUAUCUUUACACCUGUGGUGGUUUGUAGAGAAUUAUUUGAGGACCAUUGCUAAUUUCUGAAGACCAAUUGCUGAGUGAUUGUUUUCCUCACUAGAGGUUUUUUUUUUUAAUUAGCUUAGAGAUAAGUGAUGGUAGAAUGUGGCACCAAAAGGACUUAUGCCCCUGUUUGUAAAUGCUCGUGAUUUGUAGUAUAUCCCUUCAAUCUGUGUACUUCGAUGCUGCUGUUGCUGUACAUCAGUCAGUGGGAAGCACCCUUAAAUCUACAGUAGCUUAUGAUGUUACAAAGUACAAGUCUCAUCUCCUUGUUACCACAGCCACAUACUAGCUAAAAGCGUGGACAGAAGUGUAACAAGGCUCACGUCUAUAACUGAGCCACCCUUUUUGACUACAUGGAUCACAACUCUGGAGGACAAGUGUUAGGAGGAGCAGCUGAGGGAGCUCGGGUGGUGUGGGGAUGGGCUCAGCCUGGAGAAAAAGAAGUUCAGAUGAGACCGUCCUGAAAGCAGCCAGGUCGGCCUCUUCUCCCAGGAAACAGAUGUGAGGAUGUGGCCGUGACUGCUGCGAGGGAGGUUCAGGACCCUUCGAUAUGUUCCUGAAAGCUCUCAAGACAAAAUUAUUGCUGAUGAAGAUGUUUUUGAAACACUAGUGAAAACAUUUAAAGCUCUGUUCAUAAAUGACUUCAGUAGACAAGCAGAUAUUCUGGCCUUGCUUCCAGAAGUCAAGUGUCAAUAUCUGGAAUUACUUACUGUGGAGCAGCAGCGGUCAGAAGUAAAUUCUUGUAACCAUCAGGGUCA